This is a long non-coding RNA of Mirounga angustirostris (Northern elephant seal), 3669 nucleotides long. RefSeq lists it as uncharacterized. Lineage: Eukaryota; Metazoa; Chordata; Mammalia; Carnivora; Phocidae. The transcript is spliced from 4 exons. The record is from RefSeq and is a predicted model, not a curated record.
UAUGUUCCUAGUUCUAUUCUAAGCACUUCACCGCUAUUAGGUCACAUGGACUAAGUGAAAGGUUACUAUAAAAAUACAAUAAAGUCAAAAUAACUGUAUUAAGUCCCAGGAAGCUCACGCUGCGUCCUCAAGGCUAUGUGUCCUACAGCUAUUCUUUCUGAAGGGGAAAUUAGCUAAGAGACACAGGAGAGCUAAAGAUGCAGCACCAAGCCCAGACUCUUCCAGCAACAAUCAGAAGGUAGGAAAGAGGAAGGAAAAAGGAAGAACUUUCUUAGAUCCCCAUCAAUGCCAUUGAUGAUGUGUCUGUGCACCCUCUAAAAUGAUCUCCCUUAGCAGCAGAGAAGCAAGGCAUAGGCCUUAGGAAAUAAGGGAAAACUGCAGACACCAGGAGCCAAAGAAGCCAUUUAGCCGAGAUUGUGCUGCUUAGAAAUAUACCAGUAGCAUGAUGUCACAUAUCUUCCUGUCUGUCUGAUUCACCCACUUCUUGGAGAACUCACAGGUCCUGCUUACUGGGCUACGAGGACAUUUGACCCAACCAAACUGAACCAGUCACCUUACCUAUUACGGAGAUCUGGAAUAAGGACUUCAGACUGAGGACAGCUUUUGCUGGACACUUGGUCUGGAAGACCCUUCUGGGAAGCGGCCUCUGCCCAGAGCUCCAACAAGAAGCACAGCUAAGUCCAGACCUGCCACAACCAAAUGAAGUCCUAAGAGAGAAGAAGCCAGAAGCACCGCCCAAGUUGCAGCAGGAAAUGCCCCUCUCCACUCUCUGUCAUUGGCUGAGUGCCUGCCUCCAAUGUCAGAGGCACUGCCUUCUGGAGAGAGACAGUGAGAGCAGCAACACAAGCAGGGGGAGUGGGAGAGGGAGAAGCAGGCUUCCUGGCGACCAAGGAGCCCGAUGCGGGACUCAAUCCCAGGACCCUGGGAUCAUGACCUGAGCCGAAGGCAGAUGCCCAACGACUGAGCCACCCAGGCGCCCAAGGUUGCCAUAACAAAGUACCACAGUUUGGACGGCUCAACCAACAGAAAUUUAUUUUUCUGCAGCGCUGGAGGCUAGAAGUCCAAGAUGAAGGUGUUGGUAGGUUUGGUUUCUUUUGAGGUCUCUCUCCCUGGCUUGCAGAUAGGCUAUGCUGUCAGUGUCCUCACGUGGUUUUCCCUCAGUCUGUGUGGUCUGUGUCUGAAUCUCCUCUUCUGAUAAGGGCGGCAGUCAUAUGGAUGGGGGUCCACCCACGUGACCUCAUUUUACCUUAAUUAUCUUUGAAAAAGCCUAUCUCCAAAUACAGCCACAUUCUGAGCUAAUAGGGGCUAGGGCUUCAACAGAUUUUGGGGAAACGCAGUUCAGCCCAUAACAUUGUGAAAUAUGGCACAUGUAUAAGAAAUUUAAAACGAUGUAGAUUUUAAUCUUUUUAAAGUUGAUACCUACGUAACCACCACUAAAGGCAAUACAAAGAAUAAUAGCAGUGCCCAGAGUCCGGAGAACUCCAUCCCAGUCACAACGUGCUCCUGCUCCAAAACCGAGAGGAAUUCUAGAACCUGAUUGAAAGCCGUAUGACCUGACUUGUUGGAUAGUUUUCCUAUUGUGUCUGAAUCCCAAAAAUAGAGUGUGGUUGUGGCUGUUACUGAAUUUUAUAGGAAUGGAAUCCUAAAUUAGGGGCUCCAUUUGGUCUUGUUAUUGUCUUCAAAAUAAACAUAUAAGAUUCACCCAUGUCAUCCUGUGUAUCUGCAUAUUAUCCAUUUUCAUUGCUGUUGAGCUAAUAAUGGAUCUAUCCAUUCUGCUGCUGAUGCACCUUUGUAUUGUUUUCGGCUACUGGUAACAUAAGCAUGCUGCGGUGAGUUUUUGUCCAAGUAUUCUGAUACACAUAAAAUCGACCUUUUUAUAGCAGUGGUUUACACACUUAAAAAAACAUUCAUUGGGAAGACAUAAAUAUGUUUAUGUACUUAACUGCAGAACUUUGAAAUAUAUAAGGCAAAAAGCGACCAAACUAAAGGAUAAUAUACAAAUUACAAUCAUACUUGAGGAUGUUAACACUUCUUUCUCACUAAUUGUUAGAAUAAGUAAACAAGAAGCAAAUCGGAGUGCAAAAGAUUUAUCUUGACCUAAUGGUAUUUGUAAAACACUAUAUCCAGCAUUAGCUGAACACACUUCUUUUUCUUUUCUUUCUUUUUAAAGGACAUGGAUGAAACAUUUAUUCUGUCUUGCUUGAAUGAACUGUAUUUCAGGGUAAGAGGCUGAUGUCAGACAGUUCUUUUUUUUUUAAUUUAAAUUUAUUUAAUUAACAUACUGUAUUAUUAGCUUCAGGGGUAGAAUUUAGUGAUUCAUCAGUUGCGUACAACACUCAUUGCUCAUUAUUUCAGGUGCCCUCCUUAAUGCCCGUCACCCACAUACCCCAUCCUCCCAACCACGUCCCCCUCCAGCAACCCAGAUUGUUUUUAUUUAUUUUUUAUUUUUUAUUUUAAAGAUUUUAUUUAUUUAUUGGAGAGAGAGAGAGUGAGAGAGAGCAUGAGAGGGGAAAGGGUCAGAAGGAGAAGCAGACUCCCCACCGAGCGGGGAGCCUGACACGGGGCUCGAUCCCGGGACUCCAGGAUCAUGACCUGAGCCAAAGGCAGUCGCUUAACCAACUGAGCCACCCAGGCGCCCCCCCAGAUUGUUUUUUAUAGCUAAGAGUCUAUUAUUGUUUGCCUCCCUCUUUCUUUUUAUCUUCUUUUAUUUUUCCUUCCCUUCCCUUAUGUUCAUGUGUUUUGUUUCUUAAAUUCCACAUAGCAGUGGAAUCAUAUGGUAUUUGUCUUUCUCUGACUUAUUUUGCUUAGCAUAAUACCCUCUAGUUUCAUCCACGUCAUUGCAAAUGGCAAGACUUCAUUCUUUUUGAAGGCUGAGUAAUAUUCCAACAUAAAUAUAUAAAAAUCACCUCUUCUUUAUCCAUUCAUCUGUCAAGGGACAUCUGGGCUCUUUCCAUAUUUUGGCGAUUGUGGACAUUGCUGCUUUAAACACUGGGGCACAUGUGCUCCUUCAAAUCACUAUGUUUAUAUCCUUGGGAUAAAUACCUAGUAGUGCAAUUGCUCGGUAGAACAUACUUCUUUUUCAAGUGAACCUGGAAGGUUCAUGAGGUAGGCAUAUAUUGGGUCAAAACCUAUGUCUUGACAAAUUUCCAAAGUGGAGCAUAUAUACAGGGUUUUUUCUCUGAACACAGUGGAAUUAAAGCAGAAACCAAUAACUAAGAUAUCUAGAAAAUCUGCAAAUAUUUAGAAAGAAAUGAAAACAUACUUUCACAUAACCAGUGGGUCAAAGAAGGAACAAUAUAAAAUUAGAAAUAAUUUGAACUGAAUGAUAACUAAAACAGAGCAAAUAAAAAAUUUUUUAAAAGAUUUUAUUUAUUUGAGAGAGAGAGAGCACAAGCAGGGGGAGUGGCACGCAGAGGGAGAAGCAGGCUCUCCGCUGAGCAGGGAGUCCAACUCUGGGGCUCCAUCCCAAGACCCCAGGAUCAUGACCUGAGUUGAAAGCUUAACAGACUAAGCCACCCAGGCACCCUAGAGCAAAUCUACAUUUACAGUAUGUGGUUAAAGCAGUGCAUAAGGGAAUGUUGCAUCUUUAAGUGUUUAUAUUAAAAAAUAAGAUCUAAAAAUAGUGAUUUAAGAUUCCAUCCUAAAAACAGAGAAAUGAAAGCAAGUUAA